RNAcentral lists this small RNA (126 nucleotides) under uncultured Mediterraneibacter sp. RNAcentral describes it as "Ribosomal protein L10 leader". It matches the Rfam family "Ribosomal protein L10 leader", at positions 14 to 132 of the family's 138-position model. Rfam says of the family: This family is a putative r-protein leader autoregulatory structure found in B. subtilis and other low-GC Gram-positive bacteria. It is located in the 5' untranslated regions of mRNAs encoding ribosomal proteins L10 and L12 (rplJ-rplL). The record is from RNAcentral. Lineage: Bacteria; Bacillati; Bacillota; Clostridia; Lachnospirales; Lachnospiraceae.
CAACUGCCGAAGACAGUAGGUGCUGUAAAGCGUAAGGAUGAAAACGCCUGCCGAGGAAAGUUAGAUUUACUACGUAUGUAUGAAUUUAUCAAGCCUCUGUGUCUUCGGACCCGGAGGUUUUUUAAU